UACGUAGGGUGCAAGCGUUAUUCGGAUUCACUGGGCGUAAAGGGUGCGCAGGCGGUUGGGUGUGUCAGAUGUGAAAUCCCGAGGCUCAACCUCGGAACUGCGUCUGGAACUACUCGACUAGAGUACUGGAGAGGGUAACGGAAUUCACGGUGUAGCAGUGAAAUGCGUAGAUAUCGUGAGGAACACCAGAGGCGAAGGCGGUUACCUGGACAGUUACUGACGCUCAGGCACG
Molecule: ribosomal RNA, 232 nt
Filed under: uncultured bacterium
Lineage: Bacteria
Description: partial 16S ribosomal RNA
Rfam family: Bacterial small subunit ribosomal RNA
Source: RNAcentral